AUUCGAGGGUAUUGCCCUAGUAACGGCGAGUGAACAGGCAAAAGCUCAGAUUUGAAAGCCUUUUUUGGCAUUGUAUUCUGAAGUCAGUUUCCUGAGUAUCGAUGUUUAAGUCUUCUGGAAAGGAGCGCCAUGGAGGGUGAUAGCCCCGUACAACAUCACACUCAUUGUAGGAGUCUGACGUGGAGUCGAGUUGUUUGGGAAUGCAGCUCAAAAGGGUGGUAUGCUCCAUCUAAAGCUAAAUAUCUGUGAGAGACCGAUAGCGAACAAGUACCGUGAGGGAAAGAUGAAAAGAACUUUGAAAAGAGAGUGAAAUAGUACGUGAAAUUGUUGAAAUGGAAGGGUAGGCCGCUAACCAUGUAGAACCGUGUCUGGGGGGAGGACAAAAGCUGAAGAAUGUAGCUCCUCGGAGUGUUAUAGCUUCAGUCAAUACUCCCAGGCCGGGCGCGAGCACCACCAGUGCUUAUGACAGAGAAUAGAUGCG
This 481-nucleotide ribosomal RNA is filed under the name Starmerella etchellsii. RNAcentral describes it as "LSU rRNA". It matches the Rfam family "Eukaryotic large subunit ribosomal RNA", at positions 64 to 493 of the family's 3401-position model. Lineage: Eukaryota; Fungi; Ascomycota; Dipodascomycetes; Dipodascales; Trichomonascaceae. The record is from RNAcentral.